This 45-nucleotide non-coding RNA is filed under the name Schistosoma mansoni. The record is from RNAcentral. Lineage: Eukaryota; Metazoa; Platyhelminthes; Trematoda; Strigeidida; Schistosomatidae.
AUCCAGAUGACGAGUCCCAAAUAGGACGAAACGCGUGUCCUAGAU